Molecule: ribosomal RNA, 157 nt
Filed under: uncultured fungus
Lineage: Eukaryota; Fungi
Description: 5.8S ribosomal RNA
Rfam family: 5.8S ribosomal RNA
About the family: 5.8S ribosomal RNA (5.8S rRNA) is a component of the large subunit of the eukaryotic ribosome. It is transcribed by RNA polymerase I as part of the 45S precursor that also contains 18S and 28S rRNA.
Source: RNAcentral
CAACUUUCAACAACGGAUCUCUUGGCUCUCGCAUCGAUGAAGAACGCAGCGAAAUGCGAUACGUAAUGUGAAUUGCAGAAUUCAGUGAAUCAUCGAAUCUUUGANCGCACAUUGCACUCUCUGGUAUUCCGGAGAGUAUGCUUGUUUGAGUAUCUGU